This is a long non-coding RNA of Dermacentor silvarum, 385 nucleotides long. RefSeq lists it as uncharacterized. Lineage: Eukaryota; Metazoa; Arthropoda; Arachnida; Ixodida; Ixodidae. The record is from RefSeq and is a predicted model, not a curated record. The transcript is spliced from 3 exons.
CUCGAUUGAACUUGAGCAGACGUACGCGAAGAAGUCGUCGCACGGGUCUACGCUCGUGUUGAGGUGCCUGGCCAUGAUGUCAUUGUGGCGGCCGUACUCGAUUGAACUUGAGCAGACGUACGCGAAGAAGUCGUCGCACGGGUCUACGCUCGUGUUGAGGUGCCUGGCCAUCUUUUUGACCUCGUCGGGGCAGCAGAACGAGUGUGUCUCUGUGUCGGACGCCUGCUUGCUUCUUCCCUUUCCCACACUUGCGUAGACACUGAAGAACACGAUCGCCAGGAUUAUGGCCACAGACACUGCACCGGCACACCCAGCGAAGAACGCGCGUUGGGAGCUGUUCGUGGGAGGCGGAGCGUUGACGAUACAGGUUGCAGCGGGAGCCACA